Molecule: unclassified non-coding RNA, 236 nt
Filed under: plant metagenome
Description: partial contains small subunit ribosomal RNA, internal transcribed spacer 1, and 5.8S ribosomal RNA
Source: RNAcentral
UUUCCGUAGGUGAACCUGCGGAAGGAUCAUUACCGAGUGAGGGCCCUCUGGGACCAACCUCCCACCCGUGUUUAUCGUACCUUGUUGCUUCGGCGGGCCCGCCUUACGGCCGCCGGGGGGCACCCGCCCCCGGGCCCGCGCCCGCCGAAGACACCAUUGAACGCUGUCUGAAGAUUGCAGUCUGAGCAUCUUAGCUAAAUCAGUUAAAACUUUCAACAACGGAUCUCUUGGUUCCG